Molecule: long non-coding RNA, 1846 nt
Organism: Ailuropoda melanoleuca (giant panda)
Lineage: Eukaryota; Metazoa; Chordata; Mammalia; Carnivora; Ursidae
Exons: 4
Source: RefSeq, a predicted model, not a curated record
GACAUUUUAGAAAUUAUUUACUAACGAUAUCAAGGAAUACAAAAGCUAUUUGUGCUGGGGGUUGAUAGGACUGACCUGACUCUACCUGGUUGCUGGGUACUUCUCAGCACCCCUCCCACCAGAGGGAACACAAUUGCUCCUCCAUCUGUGGUCACUCAGCCCCUGCCUCCAGGGCCAUGCUUCUCAGCUGUGACGGCACAUUAGAUCCGCUUGGGAGCUCUUAAAUACUGUGAAGCUCUGCAUGUACCACAGGCCAAUGACGUCAGAGUCUCCAGGUGGGACUCAGGCUUUGGUAUUUUUUACAGCCUUCCGGUGAUUCCACUCUGCAGCCACAGUUGAGAACACGGUUCUAGGAUCUACGCAGACCUUGGGAGGAAGGGCUGAAAGGAAGCCCUGCCCAGCAGCUUGCCCCUGGGUCAGCGACAGGACAGAGGAUCUCCAUGGGGAGGGCUUGGCUCAGUCCAAGCCUGUCUGAGGACCCAUCCCUGCCUUCCUGACAGCAGACUGUGGACGGUGCCUGGCCAGCUGCCUGAGUUUGUGUGCGGAUCCUCAGGUGAGAGAAGUGGGUUUUUUCCGAGUAGGAUCUUCAUGCUACUGUUGGCUUUAUGGGAUGAUUAUGCAGUCAAAGAGAUCUAAAGUGAUAUUCUUGGGUGCUUUUCGUCCAGUGGCACUUGAUGCAAAGCCUUCAGGAAAUGAUUUUGCCUCUUCAUCCUUCAAACUCAAGCUUUACUGCAAAAGGGCCAGUUAUAUGUCUGUUUCUCUUGACCACAGGCUUCUGCGGACUGAUGAUAUUUUUUGUUGUGUUCCACUAAAUAUUCUUAAAUGUAUUAGAAUUACUGAAACACACACACACAAAGUCACAUGGCUGGCUGUCCUCUAGUUCAGCAGGGGCCCGGGCAGAAAGCUGCCACACCUCUGUUUUUGUCUGCAGACCCACACUCCGUCUGCUACACCAUUUCUAACUGCAGACACCCUCUGGGUUCCUGGAGUCUGAGUUUGUUUUAAUAACUUGCCUUAUACUCUAAUUCCUACUAGUUUGGGGCUUCACCUGUCUUGACAUGUCUCCCUGAACCAGAGUUCUACUUGCAACUUAUCAAAUUGCCUUGAGCCUGCAAUUCACAGUGUCUCCUGAAGCCAUCGCCCCUUCCUACAUCACCCUCUGCUGUGCUUUGCACACUGACCACACCCUUCUGUCAGUGGCCAUUAGCUGCCAGGCUGGAUUGGUUUCCUCCCUGGCCUGGCCACUGUGCUAGCUUGCUCUCAGCUCUGUCCCAUGCUGUCAGUUCCUCUCUCCGUCACCCCAUGGCACUUAGUGGAGUCCUCUCGUGACCAAGCAGGAGCACUCACUAAAGAGUUACAAAAGAAAUCUGCAAAAGGCAGUGGAAUGGAGGUGGCCAGUCACUGGGGCCUGCUGGGCUCUUGACUGAUGAACAAUGACACUGUCUUCUCCAGGAGCUGAUCUACGUCCAUGGCUGACAACCCAGAAAAAGCUGGGACCCAAAUUUGUACAGAGUGUCCACAUUGUGCCAGACCCGCUAGCAGCUGGGGAUUCAGUAGUGAAGAAUUUGAUGAGUUCGCCCUCUUGGAAUGCUGUUCUGCUGGGAGAGAUGGGCGUUAAUCAGAGACAUAUUCCAAAAUAGUCACAGAUGAAACUGUACGCUGUGUAGGAUUUGCCUGAGAAUAAUCCAGAGGAGGUACUGGGGGUAGAGCCGGCGGUGAAAUACGAUGGCAAGUUGCGAGUCGGUAACUGUAGAAGCUGAUCGACAGAUAUUCCGGACGUCAUGAUACUCUUCUCUCUGCUUUUUCACGUCUUUGUAAUGUUCCAUAAUUUAAAAAAUCAUCUUUG